AUUUAAUUGAUGAGUCCCAAAUAGGACGAAAUUCAUGUCUUGGAU
This 45-nucleotide non-coding RNA is filed under the name Schistosoma margrebowiei. Lineage: Eukaryota; Metazoa; Platyhelminthes; Trematoda; Strigeidida; Schistosomatidae. The record is from RNAcentral.